This 504-nucleotide ribosomal RNA is filed under the name uncultured archaeon. Its description in RNAcentral is "bacterial SSU rRNA". It matches the Rfam family "Archaeal small subunit ribosomal RNA", at positions 21 to 526 of the family's 1478-position model. The record is from RNAcentral.
AGGCCAUUGCUAUCGGAGUCCGAUUUAGCCAUGCUAGUUGCACGAGUUUAGACUCGUAGCAUAUAGCUCAGUAACACGUGGCCAUACUACCCUACAGACCCCGAUAACCUCGGGAAACUGAGGCCAAUAGCGGAUAUAACUCUCAGACUGGAGUGUCGAGAGUUAGAAACGUUCCGGCGCUGUAGGAUGUGGCUGCGGCCGAUUAGGUAGAUGGUGGGGUAACGGCCCACCAUGCCGAUAAUCGGUACAGGUUGUGAGAGCAAGAGCCUGGAGACGGUAUCUGAGACAAGAUACCGGGCCCUACGGGGCGCAGCAGGCGCGAAACCUUUACACUGCACGACAGUGCGAUAGGGGGACUCCGAGUGUGAGGGCAUAUAGCCCUCGCUUUUCUGUACCGUAAGGUGGUACAGGAACAAGGACUGGGCAAGACCGGUGCCAGCCGCCGCGGUAAUACCGGCAGUCCAAGUGAUGGCCGAUAUUAUUGGGCCUAAAGCGUCCGUAGCU